AUUACGGGAUUACUUUUUUGGCA
Molecule: non-coding RNA, 23 nt
Filed under: Arabidopsis thaliana (thale cress)
Lineage: Eukaryota; Viridiplantae; Streptophyta; Magnoliopsida; Brassicales; Brassicaceae
Source: RNAcentral